RNAcentral lists this long non-coding RNA (2801 nucleotides) under Helianthus annuus (common sunflower). RNAcentral's name for it is "hypothetical non coding rna". The record is from RNAcentral. Lineage: Eukaryota; Viridiplantae; Streptophyta; Magnoliopsida; Asterales; Asteraceae.
GUUGUUGUAAAUUUGGCAAAGAAAAGCAAUAAAUAGAGGGUGUGUCUACUAUUCCUAAGACACACUCUUUUGGUAUAUUAAUAAUAAUAAUGACUACUUGCAAAAAGUAAGAAUUUAUUUUGCUCAAAAUAAUGAUAUUGACUCUAAGCCUUGGUAUGUUGAAGAGAGGACAUAACAAAAAUCCUUGAAGUUGGUACCAAGUUCAACCACACCUUACUAGUCUACUUAAACAUUCAGUAUGAUAGUUAGGUAGAAAAGGCUUGUAAAAUUAUGAUAAUCAAGAUUGUCAAAGAAGUCAGAAGGAAGUGCAGAUUUGGACUGAGCUUGAGGUGGUCUACUUUGGCUUUUAUAUGACUCAGCAGGACGCUCGGGUUUCGCUUUAUUAAGUUCCGUAGAAUCCACGGCCUUCACAUUGUUAGGUCGACUAGCUGCAGCAGCAUUUGCUUUUACGUUUUUAAUUGCCUGUUAGAAUGAAAACAGCACCAAAAAGUAAAUGUGUGCUUUAAACACAACAAUACAUAUUAACAUCGCAUAUGUGUUACUCUUCUCAUCAUGAAGCAGCAAGCUGAAGGUACAGGAACAUCAAAAUAUGUAUCGCACAUGUUAAACAAAGGAGACAAAUAAUACAUCCAACACGAUCAACUACUACACUGAUAUACUUCAUCUUUAUGUUCAGUGUAAAUAAUAAUGGAAUGAAAUAAAGCAAGCAUCUAUAGGAUACACAAACACACACAGAUAUAUACAUAUAUACACACAGAUAUACAUACAUUUAUAGCAUACAUAUAUAAUUGUGUGGGCAUCACCACCACCAUUUGUUUAUUUAGUGCAUACACACACAGACAUUCCACUGCCACGUGCACAUUAAAGCAUAUUACCUCACGAUGCUUUGCAGAUAUUUGGUGUGCACUCCAAGCAGACUCGGAUUUUAGAACAAUAUCGCAAACUUUACAGACGGGCUGGUCAGAUUCAUUGUACCUGGAAGCAGAAUAGAGAAUACAGCAAAAAGUUAUUGGAUGUAUAACAGCAUUUUUCAGAUUUAAUUAGUGCAUAGUUAACCAGAACUGUAAAUGAUCUAACAAUGCAAGCAGAGCUAAAAGUCAUACAAAACUCGCACUGUCUUGAACAUAAGAGAUACAGUCAUCUGAUUAUUAACUAAGAACCUUGUAUCGAAGUGCAGAUAUAUGUGAAAAUUAAUAUUAUGUAAUGAGAAGUGAGAAGUCUAAGCCAAAAUGAAUCCACAAGCCUGUGAAAGCUGAAUCGAACACUAUACAGGGAGAAGACUACUUUCCUCUACUGCUUUAAUUUUACAAUGAGUAGGUUUGCCUAACUAACAGUCUUAACAAUACAUCUGAAAAUAUAGCAGAAGCAGCUUUUUUAUUAACAAAUUCACUGGUAAAUUCACAAAUAAAAAAAAAAUCGACUUCAGAGCUCCUUGUGUCCACAUAGGUAUGCCAAUUAGGUCAAAACACUUCCAAGAUGGCCAUGACAAAGUUACAAACCUGAAACUCUAAUAAACUGAAAGUGAUACCCUGACUCAUCAAUAUCAUGAUCCUCCACAACAUGCAUAACAACAAACUAACAUUGUAAGAGUGCUCAAAAAAGGUUAAGGAGGUGUAACAAAUGUCGCAUCUAAACCGAAGCAAGAUGUUAACAGACAUCAAACUUUUUUCUUGUUAAGCAUGUUAAUGAUGGCCAUACAUAGUUAUCAAAUGCGCUAGGCGCACUCUAGGCGCAUAGGCCUCGCCUGUCGCCUAGGCGAGAAGCGCAAAAAAAGCGCGGGCCUGAGAAAAAUAAAGCGCAAGCAAAUAAAAACAUAAAAAAAUAAUUUAUGUAUUGAAAAAAACACUUUCUUAAAAUUCCUAAAGUAUUCAAAUACCAUAAUCCUUAUACUAAAACCAAAAUCAUUAUGAAUCACAAAAAUAUCCCAAAACCAAAUUGUUCAAACUUGAAAACAAAUAAAGUUCAAAAAGUAAAUUAAAUCAUAAGUCAUAAAUAAUUUAUAUGAAGAAAUGAGAAUGAUUGAAUAUACUGCAUAAUCCUCAUAAGGUCAAAAUAUACCUGUAGUAUUUGUAUGUUUUUCCAGCAAAAAAAAGGAAGAAGAUUAUGAAAGUUGUUUUAUCAGAUAAGGUUCUUAUUUGAAUAAAAAGAUAUGAUAUCUCUAACUUUUUUAAAUUUCAAAUAUAUUUUUUUAAAGAUGUAUAAGAUUUGAUUUGAUUGAGAUAUGAUUUCCAAAAAAUAGAUAAAUACGUAUAAAUAAUUAUAUAUCAUCUGGUAUAUGUAUAAGAGAUAGGAUUUCAAAAAAAAAUUCACGUGGCUUUUUUUACCUAGGAGGGAAAAGCGCAUCCAGGUCGACUCGCCCAGAAAUAUCGCCUAGGCGGGAAAAGCGAUCGCUUUUGAUAACUAUGUGGCCAUAGUAGUCAAAGGCACACAAAACGCUCGCCUAGGCGCCCAGGCGCAUCCCAGUGCAUCCAUACCACCUUGCGUCCAUCAAGGCGCUCCGGCCAGAUUCUAUAAAUUCCAGCCAAAUUCCCGUCUCAACAGGCCUAACCAGCUAAAACUUGUCUCAAAACAUCCAAAAAGGCCUUGGAACCAGCCUAAAACAUGUCUAAACCCCCUAAAAAUGGUAUGUUUAUACUAUGCGCCUUGCUUAAAAAAGCACUCGCUUUUCAAGCGCCUUGAGUGCGCCUAGCACCUUCAACUACCUAGAUAACUGCUAAUAGUUAACCUAUCAAAUUCAUGAAAAACAAUGAUUAACCUGCUUAUACCAUGCCCUAUUUAUAGUUUUCUUAAAAAAUAAUGAA